This 450-nucleotide ribosomal RNA is filed under the name uncultured bacterium. RNAcentral's name for it is "partial 16S ribosomal RNA". It matches the Rfam family "Bacterial small subunit ribosomal RNA", at positions 354 to 796 of the family's 1533-position model. The record is from RNAcentral.
GUAGGGAAUAUUGGGCAAUGGAGGCAACUCUGACCCAGCCAUGCCGCGUGCAGGAUGAAGGCCUUCGGGUUGUAAACUGCUUUUGUACGGAACGAAAAGACUCCUUCUAAUAAAGGGGGUCCAUGACGGUACCGUAAGAAUAAGCACCGGCUAACUACGUGCCAGCAGCCGCGGUAAUACGUAGGGUGCAAGCGUUAAUCGGAAUUACUGGGCGUAAAGCGUGCGCAGGCGGUUAUAUAAGACAGAUGUGAAAUCCCCGGGCUCAACCUGGGAACUGCAUUUGUGACUGUAUAGCUAGAGUACGGUAGAGGGGGAUGGAAUUCCGCGUGUAGCAGUGAAAUGCGUAGAUAUGCGGAGGAACACCGAUGGCGAAGGCAAUCCCCUGGACCUGUACUGACGCUCAUGCACGAAAGCGUGGGGAGCAAACAGGAUUAGAAACCCGGGUAGUCC